AUGGGAUAUCUGCUGCCCGCCCGGGGAGAUGCUGUCCGAG
RNAcentral lists this non-coding RNA (40 nucleotides) under Mycobacterium tuberculosis. The record is from RNAcentral. Lineage: Bacteria; Bacillati; Actinomycetota; Actinomycetes; Mycobacteriales; Mycobacteriaceae.